GGUUCCUCGAAUUCAACGGAGAAUUGAAAGUGAUUAUUUUCACAUUGAAAUAAUAAUUAUUUGCAACUACGGUCUCUCAUUAUAUCGCCGUGAAAAUGGAAAAUUGUCGCAGUUGGACAAAAAUGUUUCUUCACCUGCACGUAUGACAAAAUAACGAGUCACAAUACAGUAAUUCAAGGUUUUGGAAUACCAAGUGCACGAAUGACUUACGUAAUACCUGAUAUGAAAGAGAAGUAUUGUUAAUCAUUUCACGAGAAAGGCUAUCAACGUUUAUUAAUGCAAACAGUCGAUAUAAAGCUAGAUAGGGAGAUUUUGGAUAGAGAUAUCGCUAGAUCGAUGGAAUCUCUUUUUCACGGUGAAAUUAAAAGAUUCAGGGAAGGCAAAGGUUGUCGAGUAGCUCGUCAGGGUCGGAAGUAGCGUUUUUCGAGGAGGGCCGCGAGCCAUUUCGCGUUGGAUUUCACGAGAUAGCAAUGAUCCAAGCGUGGAAACGGGAAUUAUGCCGGGCUGAAUCGCGAUAAGCGACCGAGAGACGUACGUUUAAUCGUGGUUAUCGCGAAGUUUACGCAUACAGGCUGGCGUAGAUUACGCGGUUGAUUUUGCACGCGCCAAGGACUAGAUGUUUCACGCUCUAGAAAUACACGCGGUGUUCCGUAAUAAACUGGUUGAAAAAAAAUUGUAAAGUCAAAAGUAUGAUGCACUCUUUCAUCUAUCUGAACUUCGUUAAAUUAAAUAAAGAUUACAUUUGAAGAAUUUACGAUCUAUCAAUCUCUGUUUUAUCUUAUCUUUAUUUGCAGACGACAUUAAUACAAUUUUUCUUCUGUUUUUAGGGAGAUAAAAUUCAGUUUCAUGAAAGGAAAAGGGUUAUUGAACGUGACAACAACAAUGUAUAGAAGAUACCGUAACUUUCUAAGAAAUGUAAUACACAAAGACGUAUUUGUCAUUCGACGGAAAAUUAAUUGUGAACGAGUUAUCGAUUGCGGCUGUCGGUGCCAGGGGUUCAUUGUGCACAUGAUUGAAGAGCCGCGGAUUUAUUUAUCGAUUUCGUCCCCUUGAUUUCACCGUCUUUCUAUUUUUAUUGGGCACCUGCGUUCUCAUAUUCCAUCUUUUAUUCAAAUACUUUUUUCAUCGUAGUUAUAUAACGGAAUCUUAUUUUUACCCGGUAGAUCGCCACGCGUUGUAUCGGCACGACUCAUCAUUUCGCAUUCUUCUGGUUUUUAACUACCGAAAUUAUUCUGGUUUCUAACCACUGAAAGUAUUCGCGGUAGUUAAAAACUGAUAUCGAAAUUAUUUUAAAAGAACCGUUAGAUCGAUGUGUCUCUAAUUCUGAUAGCUUAUCAGCCUUAAAAUCGUUUGGGACAGUCAUCGAUAUGGACCUCUGAUGUAACGAUGACGCCCAAGCGUAGUUUCGACAACGAUCAACGGGUAGAACCGUACACAGCCUCUUUCCGCCCUCGAGUGUCGUAAAUAACGUCCAGGUGAAACGAAUUGUCGAUAAAUAAAUGCUCGAGCCGUGGAUACCGUGUGACACGCGUGGGUGGACAGCAGCAGCCAGCUUGGGGAUCGUUAUUUCAUAACAGGUCGGAAUUGCUGGAGGUAUUUGGAGGACACGAGGAGCUUCUAACGGAUAUCCCUUUAUCAGAGACGACGGAAUUUUUUCGCCUAAGCAGUUUAUCCAAAGAACAUGUACACCAGCUGCACAGAGAGGCGAGAGAGCAAAGGGGAUCGAUUGGUGCUUACAUGCAUCGUCGGUUAUGUCACGAAUCGAGUGUCGCACGCGAUGAGUUCAUCGGCUACGACACUAUCGAGGAGAUGUAUCGCGGGAUGACAUCACUUUUCCGUUCGUCCGAUACUCGUUGCACAUUUCAUCUUUUUUGCUCAUCGGGGAGAUGAGUUAGAACCGCAGGAAUCUACCACCUUUAUUAUGUACCUAACUCCUGAUGCGCGAUCGCAGCGAAAGGAAACCGCAGGAACGCGAUUAUUGGCAAUCGUGUGAGUCACGUGCGCCAACUGAUUUACUAGGGAGAUUAUACUCGUAUAGCAAGAAACGCAAACACUGAAAGAGUACAAUGAAAGACAGCUAGAAAUGGAGCGAGCAUUUAGUAGGGUAAUUGUUCAUCACGCUUUUCCUUGGAAAUGAUUUGUCGCCUCUUGAUUAGAGGAUGGGUCGGGUUUCCUAGCAAACAUCGACUGUGAUGCCGUUUUCCGAGCAGAGACGUGGGAGACAGGCGUUAAGAUUCUGUGUCAAUAUCGUGGAAUAUUCUAAUUAAUUUCAUAGUCUGAGAGAGAAGCGUAUCGACAGCGUUCGUGGGUGUUGAGGAACCAGCAAAAUUACAGUGAAGUGACCAAAGAAGUGGCUUUACGAAAUGUACACGUGGGUCUAAAUGGACCCGUACAAUAUCUCCUUGUACAGGGAAGUCUAUUCGUUUCAUAAAUCUUCGAAAUUCAGCUGUAAAAUAAUCCGGUUUGAUAUACGAUUCGAAGAUUUUAGAAAGCCUUUGUACAGUAAAUCAAUUUGAAUAAAAAUUACGUUUUAGGUUAGGUUUAAAAAGGCAAGGAUAAACUCGAAUGCUAGAAUUACACAUGACAUUCUAGCACAGUCUACCGUUUGACUAGAGAAACACUUAACCCUUUGUCCUGGAAGGGCGACUCUCUAUUUUGUCUAACGCAGUCAUUCAAACGGCGCUCGAGGGUUAACUGCCAGAGAAUCGUAGAGAGUGCUUUGCUCCCUGGAUUGAUCAUUGACUCCAAUUGUUGCCCGGAAUUUGAAUAAAUCUGGAGCUGUAGCUUGUGCAGCUUGUAAAAAACAUUUAUUGCCAUAUGAAUUUUGAAGAAUUGCCUCGAAUCGAUGUAUAGUUAUUGAAGGAUGCAACAGCUCGACACCCACGGCCACGACGAUGACGAGAUCGACUUGAGCUGCCUUUUAAUUAACGGAUCGUGGGUGUUCCACGCGGCUCAAUUCGCUAGAACGUGAUACGAGGAAAUCGUGAGGCCAGCUAUUCAAUUAUGCAUCGAGAUCGCACCGGAUAGAAGAAUACAUUUUUCAAGAUUUCGGCAGAAACUUGGCAACACGCGUGAUCCGAGUUCGUUACUCCGUUUACAAAGGGGAUAUCUGUUGCUUGGGAUCUGGCCUUUGACUUCUUAUUCCGGGUGUGAGCCACGUUGCCAACUGUUGAAUUCCCUUUGGUACACGACGUUGCAGUUGUGGAGGUACCGCCAUCGAUUAACGAUACGCCGUCAAUAUCGUAUGCUCACCAUGCUCAAAUUUCAUCCCCACGAUAUUUGAUAACUUGGCAAUUUGGGAACUUGAGGAUACUUGGAAAAGUUGACAAAUUUUGAAGUUAACUCGAAUCUCUAAAUUUGAAAAUCUAAUGCCUAUAUGGAGAACCAUAUUAAGAGAGGUUAGGUUAGCCCUCUUCAGCCCCGGUUACUUCACAUGUCUGUACACUUAAAAUAGUUACGCACAGUCUUUCUCAGGCUUACGUCAGUUAUUCUAGAAUUGGUCAAGGUCUCAAGAAAUAUUUGUAGACUCCCCAGGAGGCAUUGAAUGACCCUGGCAUUACAGAAGCCUGCGGAUCAAUCGACAGAUGAAGGACGAGGUCCGUUUAUUCAACCACCAUUUAACUGCGUUAAUGAUCGCUCGAUCAGGUCCAUAAUCGCACUUACGCAAGGGUCACUCGUAAUUGGCGUUGAAGAUGGAAAUUUAAUUUGGAAUGGCGCUGUUUAUAUGGCAUUGAAAUUCUAAGAAACGUGACAUCACUUUGGAGAAUCAUUUUUCAAACUAAAGACAGAGACAACGCGUUCUCGAGGCGAGUGUUUAUGAGGCUCUCAUCAGAGGAGCGGUAGAUCAAGGAACGCAGUGAGGACGGUUUUCCUGAAACCUGGUUCAUGGCACUCGUGUAAUCUGGAUUGCGAACACGGAAGCGGGAAUCAUGAUCAGAUAACGGCCUCGGGAUGCCAGCAAGCUAAGCGGAAGUGCCGAUGAGGAAUGACGGGCGGCGCUACGGGACAAAGGAACGUUUUUGCGCGUCCAACCACGCGUGUAACCGUGUAAAAGGUGUGGCUAAUGAGUGUAUGGCUGAAGAAACAUUAAUUCUGCUGCUACCCUUGUCACCGUGCUGGAAGACGACAAACGAAAAUGACUAAAACAAUGUACAGAAAUUAAAGGGAAGGCCAAUGCACUCGCAAGGAUGUUAAGAAGAGAAUCGACAGUUCCGGAUGAAAGAUUGAAAGCUCUGAGCGGAACAGAUGUCGCCAUUGUAGAUCGACUGCAUCACGUCGGAAACAUCUUAACCUAGACGCGUGCACACACCUACGAUAAAGCUGUUACAAUAUGCAUUAGAACGCCGUUACAUGCCAAGAUAAAUGGACUCUUCAGCUAGUACUCUUGAAAACAUUGAAAAGAGGGGAAGUCAUCGAUAAAAGAGAUAUCAGAUAAAUCCUGUGGGUUCAGGAAGCCAUGAUCUUGCAGUGGACCGGAAAAGGAGAGAACUAGCGAUCCUGAUUCGAGUCACCUGUCUUCCUGCAGAACGGAACAACGAACUUUUCAACGCCAUCACCGAAAACUGAUACAGAAGUCGUCAAAGAGUAUUGGGAAAAUACGGUAACUCGCUCAAUACAGUUCAGGACAAGAAUAUCCAGUAUUUUGUAUCGACGUUAGUAACUGAAAUAACUAACGAAAUUCGGGUCAGGGAAAAGUUGUGCACUAUUAUUUUUAACCUAAUGUAGAAGUCUUGUAUGCUGGUUAAUGGAACUUGACAAUUAUUGUCUUUAUGCAAAGUACACGUGUAUGGAAAUAUUGUAAUAACUACAUAGUAUGUUAUAUGAUGAGCACAGUGUUAGUGAUGGGUAUAAACACUUUGUUUUAAAUAUAGGUUAGGUUUGAACUGUAAUAAGAAUAGGUGGAAGUUAAGGAUAUGAAACUUGACAAUUAUUGUCUUUAUGCAACGUACACGUGUAUGGAAAUAUUGUAAUAACUACAUAGUAUGUUAUAUGAUGAGCACAGUGUUAGUGAUGGGUAUAAACACUUUGUUUUAAAUAUAGGUUAGGUUUGAACUGUAAUAAGAAUAGAUGGAAGUUAAGGAUAUGAAACUUGACAAUUAUUGUCUUUAUGCAAAGUACUCGUGUAUGAAAAUAUUGUAAUAACUACACAGUGUGUUAUAUGAUGAUGUGUUAGUGAUGGGUAUAAACGAACUUUGUUUUAAAUAUAAGUUUGAACUGAAAUCAGAAUUAACACGGAUGUGACUACGCGAAGUCGGAGAAGUUCCUCAUCAGAUACGAGCUAAAUAUGCUAAGUGAAGUUAGGUAACUAUCAAUCGUUUCUGAAAUGUGUGUGUUACACAAUUGGAUCUGAAUCAAGGUCAGCGAUUACUGUAGACAUCUAUCUCAAUCGUUUUUAAUCGAGAUGACAUGGACCUUAAUUCGUCUUUGAAUUACACCAGGAAAUUAGCCCUAAAAUUGUGGAUGGAUUCUUUACAUAAGAAAUUAACUUGAAAGUGAAGGUUAAAAGGUUUGUUCGAUUCAAGAGUAGCGUUCAGGUGAAUAGAAACAACAUGUAUAUCCGAACAAAGCAGUUCUCACCCCAAAAGUGUAAACGUCCCAACGAGGGUCGGGGUCAAGCUAAAUUAAGCGACCAAAAGACAUUCUCCACCGAGCGAAAGAAUAAAUCUCGCGGAACCCGGAGAAAUAUUCAAGGAUUCGGACCAUAAUCGCACCAUGACGGAGUAAUUAAAUCCUUCGUCGAUUCGUUCGUCCGUGCAAUAUGCAUGAGCAGAUUUUUCGCCCCCCUCCGCCCCUUUAUACCGUUGGUAAGAAAGGGAACGACCACAAAGAAAGAAUAAAUUCCACCUUACGAAUAAUCUCGCCAAGAAUUUUCACGGUAUUUCAAAUGUAAACCUCUGAGCUACGAUGGAGAGGAAUUUCUUCAUCCCCCAUCCCUUAACUCCCUCUUAAUCUUUCGUUUUGCUCUUAAUCGAGUCAGUUAAUUGCGUGCUGACAAUUCGUUGCACAAUACAAAUUUACGUUUGUCCAAUCGACUGCAUUGCAAUCAUUCGUGUAUAGGGUGGCAAGUCUUCUGCAUUACGCAAAUUUACCAACAAAUCGUUUAGAGGAUUGAUCAAAGAUAUUCCGCAAUAUUUUUUACGACCCGAGCAUCAAGGAAUUUAAUGAACACGUUCCCGGAUAGUCUUUUCGCUGGCCGACGAUCAGGAACGAUUUAAUCGGUGAACAUUAAAAGCAACCCCCGUCCCUUUUACUGGAAUUUAAAAAAUUUAUGAGCCAGUAAAAACAGUCAUACGGCGAUAAUUAUUCUGGGAGAUUUACACAGAUUCAAGCAGACUAAAAACAAUAAAAAAUUGACCAUCAAAAGUUCUCUAGGAAAACUGUCAGAAAAAUUUGUGUAGAAUUCCUAAAAUUUUUUAAGAGCAGGGUGGAAUUUGCGUUCUCCAAAAUGGCGGGAAAAAUACAUACAGGGACAAAGAGAGCUCGGUACGGGUUAGGUUAGUAUUAUGUUGUACACUGAGUCCACGUAUUCAAAAGAAGUUGCUCGAUUUUUAUCGCUUGCCAAAAAUCUUUUCGCGCGCAACGAGAAUACGCUAUCGGUAGGGGAUGAUUCACGCACACAGAGAACGUUCAUCUGGAAAGAGACGUAACGAAAGGCCGUGUACAUGGGAAGCAACGGUCGGCACGAUUGUUUCAUCCCGAGAAUGAUAUUCACGGGCCGCCACACCGAGCCGCGUAAAAGGACCCCGGAGCUUCCAACAGCUUCUCUCUGCCGUCUCUUUCUGUCUCCUCCCCCGGACCUCUCUCGCAUUUGCCCGCGUUCUCCCGUAUUUUUUAGCAAGAGAAAUAGCAUAAGGUUUACCCUGAAAAUACAUCGUGGCUCCGGCAUCAUGCAAUUAAACGUGAGUACGUCGGAGCGCGAGAAAAGGGUGGGAAAAACGAGCAAAAAAGGCUUCUGGUAUAGAGAGGAGGAUGCUGAUAAGGUUGCGGAAAAUAUCUGUUGUCGUGAUAAAUCACCUCAAAUUGUCCUUGGUUUGUUCGUGACGAUAUGCAACUCUUCUAUGUAGAUGUUACUGAUGUUAAUUUUCUGCGCCUGUUAGAACUGAUUGUCUGUGCAGUUUUUUGAGCGAGUUUACUGUAAAUUGAUUCUAGGAGUAAUGUUGAUUAGACUUGUGUUAUGUGAGAUUGGAUGGAUCAAGUUUGCUGAGGUUUGGACUGAAUGAAGUUUGGAUUGCAUUUAACCUACACCUCACUGAGCAAGAUGGUGGAUAGCUAAAGAAGUUAGAAGAGUAUAUUUAAAUUAGAUCUAAGUCAAGAUAUUAUGUGAGAUUGGAUGGAUCAAGUUUGCUGAGGUUUGGACUGAAUGAAGUUUGGAUUGCAUUUAACCUACACCUCACUGAGCAAGAUGGUGGAUAGCUAAAGAAGUUAGAAGAGUAUAUUUAAAUUAGAUCUAAGUCAAGAUAUUAUGUGAGAUUGGAUGGAUCAAGUUUGCUGAGGUUUGGACUGAAUGAAGUUUAUAUUGUAUUUAACCUACACCUCACUGAGCAAGAUGGUGGAUAGCUAAAGAAGUUAGAAGAGUAUAUUUAAAUUAGAUCUAAGUCAAGAGAGUGCCGGGAGUUUUAGAGGUGCCGCAGUUGACCCCCCUAAUGCAUGGAAAAAAAGGAAACGUGUUCAACAGGUGUACGAAUUUGA
RNAcentral lists this long non-coding RNA (7689 nucleotides) under Megachile rotundata (alfalfa leafcutting bee). RNAcentral's name for it is "uncharacterized LOC105662250, transcript variant X13". The record is from RNAcentral. Lineage: Eukaryota; Metazoa; Arthropoda; Insecta; Hymenoptera; Megachilidae.